GACGAAGGAUCCAAGCGUUAUCCGGAUUCAUUGGGUUUAAAGGGAGCGUAGGCGGACUUAUAAGUCAGUGGUGAAAGCCGAUAGCUUAACUAUCGAACUGCCAUUGAUACUGUAAGUCUAGAGUACAGAUGAUGUUGGCGGAAUAUGACAUGUAGCGGUGAAAUGCAUAGAUAUGACAUAGAACACCAAUUGCGAAGGCAGCUUACUACACAGUUAUUGACACUGAGGCACGAAAGCGUGGGGAUCAAACAGG
Molecule: ribosomal RNA, 253 nt
Filed under: uncultured bacterium
Lineage: Bacteria
Description: partial 16S ribosomal RNA
Rfam family: Bacterial small subunit ribosomal RNA
Source: RNAcentral